AACGAACGCUGGCGGCAUGCCUAACACAUGCAAGUCGAACGAGACCUUCGGGUCUAGUGGCGCACGGGUGCGUAACGCGUGGGAAUCUGCCCUUGGGUUCGGAAUAACACCUGGAAACGACUGCUAAUACCGGAUGAUGACGUAAGUCCAAAGAUUUAUCGCCCUAGGAUGAGCCCGCGUAGGAUUAGCUAGUUGGUGAGGUAAAGGCCUACCAAGGCGACGAUCCUUAGCUGGUCUGAGAGGAUGAUCAGCCACACUGGGACUGAGACACGGCCCAGACUCCUACGGGAGGCAGCAGUGGGGAAUAUUGGACAAUGGGCGAAAGCCUGAUCCAGCAAUGCCGCGUGAGUGAUGAAGGCCUUAGGGUUGUAAAGCUCUUUUACCCGGGAUGAUAAUGACAGUACCGGGAGAAUAAGCUCCGGCUAACUCCGUG
RNAcentral lists this ribosomal RNA (433 nucleotides) under uncultured bacterium. Its description in RNAcentral is "partial 16S ribosomal RNA". It matches the Rfam family "Bacterial small subunit ribosomal RNA", at positions 29 to 507 of the family's 1533-position model. The record is from RNAcentral.